AGUGAACGCUGGCGGUAGGCCUAACACAUGCAAGUCGAACGGCAGCACAGUAAGAGCUUGCUCUUACGGGUGGCGAGUGGCGGACGGGUGAGGAAUACAUCGGAAUCUACUUUUUCGUGGGGGAUAACGUAGGGAAACUUACGCUAAUACCGCAUACGACCCACGGGUGAAAGCAGGGGAUCUUCGGACCUUGCGCGAUUGAAUGAGCCGAUGUCGGAUUAGCUAGUUGGCGGGGUAAAGGCCCACCAAGGCGACGAUCCGUAGCUGGUCUGAGAGGAUGAUCAGCCACACUGGAACUGAGACACGGUCCAGACUCCUACGGGAGGCAGCAGUGGGGAAUAUUGGACAAUGGGCGCAAGCCUGAUCCAGCCAUACCGCGUGGGUGAAGAAGGCCUUCGGGUUGUAAAGCCCUUUUGUUGGGAAAGAAGAGCAGCAGGUUAAUACCCCGCUGUUCUGACGGUACCCAAAGAAUAAGCACCGGCUAACUUCGUG
RNAcentral lists this ribosomal RNA (492 nucleotides) under uncultured bacterium. Its description in RNAcentral is "partial 16S ribosomal RNA". It matches the Rfam family "Bacterial small subunit ribosomal RNA", at positions 29 to 507 of the family's 1533-position model. The record is from RNAcentral.